Molecule: unclassified non-coding RNA, 411 nt
Filed under: Hevea brasiliensis (rubber tree)
Lineage: Eukaryota; Viridiplantae; Streptophyta; Magnoliopsida; Malpighiales; Euphorbiaceae
Source: RNAcentral
AAAAAAAAAACCCUUGCUAUCUGGCUUCCAAAUCAACUUAUCAUUCUAAAAUGGACAUAACCUCACUGAGCUUAGAAUGACAAGAAGUCGAGCCAACCUUUACAGUUCCCACUCAAAGAUUCCUGCGCCAAGAGAAAUUCCACUCCCAAACCCCAUCCACCCAGUCUCCCAACUCAUUAACAAAUGCAUUCAGGUUGGAAGCUAGGUUGAAAAGCCUAGCAAAGGAAAAUUUCAGUGGGGAAUUUGAUGUCCAGACAUCGUGCCAAAUUCUAACGCCCUUACCCUCACCAAUAGCAAAACUAACAUGCCAUAAGGCUGAGAAAUUGGAUCCACCUGAAUGCGCAGAUUUUUGAAUUCUAGACCAUAAAGAUGAAAUUGAAUUACCCAAAGCGAAAGGAAGGUAGCCCAAAG